Molecule: ribosomal RNA, 253 nt
Filed under: uncultured bacterium
Lineage: Bacteria
Description: partial 16S ribosomal RNA
Rfam family: Bacterial small subunit ribosomal RNA
Source: RNAcentral
UACGUAGGGGGCUAGCGUUGUCCGGAAUCAUUGGGCGUAAAGCGCGUGUAGGCGGUCCGGUAAGUCCGCUGUGAAAGUCGAGGGCUCAACCCUCGAAUGCCGGUGGAUACUGUCGGGCUUGAGUACGGGAGAGGCGAGUGGAAUUCCUGGUGUAGCGGUGAAAUGCGUAGAUAUCUGGAGGAAUACCGGUGGCGAAGGCGGCAUCCUGGACCAUUACUGACGCUGAGGCGCGAAAGCUAGGGGAGCAAACGGG